Molecule: long non-coding RNA, 647 nt
Organism: Nymphalis io (European peacock)
Lineage: Eukaryota; Metazoa; Arthropoda; Insecta; Lepidoptera; Nymphalidae
Exons: 2
Source: RefSeq, a predicted model, not a curated record
AGCUUUAGCAGAGUUUUUGAUUGUAAAAAAAAGGAACUUUAAAAUUAAAAUACUCUUUCAUCAAGUAGGUUCUUACAAGAGUGGUAGUUUAGAUGGUUUUGUUACAACGUGAAGAAGAACCCACAUGACCAGCUUAACAUACGACCUAAAGACAUUGGGGAACCGUCGUAUUCAGAGGGCCUAAGAACGACCAGAGUGGUGUCGAUUAAAAGGGGCCUAGAUAUAAAAGCUGCCGCAUAAAUGGUUUUGUAAUACGCAAUACAAUAUGUCAAUGAUUUGUCUGUCAGUCUAGUGGUCAGCUUAUAUAUAAGCAAAAACAUCGACAAUAUGUACUGUUUGAUGACGGAAAAGCGAUUCAAAUCAGUAUACAGUAUUUGUAACCGAAAUUUCCUACGUAAAGAAAAGAUAUUUUCAUAACCAGAAACCACCUUCGAAAAUCUUUCGCUAUUGGCUACCUAGCUAAGCUUAUAUAAAGAUCCGCCACUGCGUUUAUAUUUAUGUUAAAGUUAUUUCGUGCUAUUGUUUGCAAUCUCUAAUCUGUACGAACUCACUAAUUAUUCACAAAUCAAAUGUUAACAACCGAUUUAUUACAGUGAUAUACAAUUUUGAUGCGUGUAUUCUUGAAAUGUUAUAAAUAUUAUGGUCAA